AAGGAGGGAGGAGCAGCCUGAAGAUCGACCUCCAAUUGGGAUCAUCAACUCCAUCUCUGGAGGACCCCGACGGAGAGCAGACCUUCCGCGACUAUGGGAUUCGAAAAAUCUACGAAUAUAUUACUAAUAACUCUACCUUAAAUAAAAAUUUCUUUCAUAUUUGCAUAUCUUUUCUUUUGGCAUGAGCCCAUAACGACAGGGAGUAGCCCCU
This 211-nucleotide long non-coding RNA is filed under the name Elaeis guineensis (African oil palm). RNAcentral describes it as "long non-coding RNA (EGUI_LNC078916)". The record is from RNAcentral. Lineage: Eukaryota; Viridiplantae; Streptophyta; Magnoliopsida; Arecales; Arecaceae.